CAGGCUCUUCGCGUUCCUGUGCGUCGCGCACACCUUCGUUCUGGCAGGCACGGUGUGCUUCUAUUUCCAGGGGUCUGUGGGGGAACCAGCUCCUGGCCAUGACAUUGCUGGGGACACGUCACAGCCCCCGGGAGAGACCUUGAGGCCGGUGUGGGGGCCGAUGGACAAGUGCUACCCUGGGGCCUCUCAGAGACGCAGGGUCCGGAGCGGGAGGAAGGAGGCCGCUGAGG
Long non-coding RNA from Phyllostomus discolor (pale spear-nosed bat), 230 nucleotides. RefSeq lists it as uncharacterized. Lineage: Eukaryota; Metazoa; Chordata; Mammalia; Chiroptera; Phyllostomidae. The record is from RefSeq and is a predicted model, not a curated record. The transcript is spliced from 4 exons.